RNAcentral lists this ribosomal RNA (1665 nucleotides) under Salmonella enterica subsp. enterica serovar Paratyphi A. Its description in RNAcentral is "bacterial SSU rRNA". It matches the Rfam family "Bacterial small subunit ribosomal RNA". Lineage: Bacteria; Pseudomonadati; Pseudomonadota; Gammaproteobacteria; Enterobacterales; Enterobacteriaceae. The record is from RNAcentral.
GAAAAAUGAAUACCAAGUCUCAAGAGUGAACACGUAAUUCAUUACGAAGUUUAAUUCAUUGAGCAUCAAACUUUUAAAUUGAAGAGUUUGAUCAUGGCUCAGAUUGAACGCUGGCGGCAGGCCUAACACAUGCAAGUCGAACGGUAACAGGAAGCAGCUUGCUGCUUUGCUGACGAGUGGCGGACGGGUGAGUAAUGUCUGGGAAACUGCCUGAUGGAGGGGGAUAACUACUGGAAACGGUGGCUAAUACCGCAUAACGUCGCAAGACCAAAGAGGGGGACCUUCGGGCCUCUUGCCAUCAGAUGUGCCCAGAUGGGAUUAGCUUGUUGGUGAGGUAACGGCUCACCAAGGCGACGAUCCCUAGCUGGUCUGAGAGGAUGACCAGCCACACUGGAACUGAGACACGGUCCAGACUCCUACGGGAGGCAGCAGUGGGGAAUAUUGCACAAUGGGCGCAAGCCUGAUGCAGCCAUGCCGCGUGUAUGAAGAAGGCCUUCGGGUUGUAAAGUACUUUCAGCGGGGAGGAAGGUGUUGUGGUUAAUAACCGCAGCAAUUGACGUUACCCGCAGAAGAAGCACCGGCUAACUCCGUGCCAGCAGCCGCGGUAAUACGGAGGGUGCAAGCGUUAAUCGGAAUUACUGGGCGUAAAGCGCACGCAGGCGGUCUGUCAAGUCGGAUGUGAAAUCCCCGGGCUCAACCUGGGAACUGCAUUCGAAACUGGCAGGCUUGAGUCUUGUAGAGGGGGGNNNNNNNNNNNNNNNNNNNNGAAAUGCGUAGAGAUCUGGAGGAAUACCGGUGGCGAAGGCGGCCCCCUGGACAAAGACUGACGCUCAGGUGCGAAAGCGUGGGGAGCAAACAGGAUUAGAUACCCUGGUAGUCCACGCCGUAAACGAUGUCUACUUGGAGGUUGUGCCCUUGAGGCGUGGCUUCCGGAGCUAACGCGUUAAGUAGACCGCCUGGGGAGUACGGCCGCAAGGUUAAAACUCAAAUGAAUUGACGGGGGCCCGCACAAGCGGUGGAGCAUGUGGUUUAAUUCGAUGCAACGCGAAGAACCUUACCUGGUCUUGACAUCCACGGAAGUUUUCAGAGAUGAGAAUGUGCCUUCGGGAACCGUGAGACAGGUGCUGCAUGGCUGUCGUCAGCUCGUGUUGUGAAAUGUUGGGUUAAGUCCCGCAACGAGCGCAACCCUUAUCCUUUGUUGCCAGCGGUCCGGCCGGGAACUCAAAGGAGACUGCCAGUGAUAAACUGGAGGAAGGUGGGGAUGACGUCAAGUCAUCAUGGCCCUUACGACCAGGGCUACACACGUGCUACAAUGGCGCAUACAAAGAGAAGCGACCUCGCGAGAGCAAGCGGACCUCAUAAAGUGCGUCGUAGUCCGGAUUGGAGUCUGCAACUCGACUCCAUGAAGUCGGAAUCGCUAGUAAUCGUGGAUCAGAAUGCCACGGUGAAUACGUUCCCGGGCCUUGUACACACCGCCCGUCACACCAUGGGAGUGGGUUGCAAAAGAAGUAGGUAGCUUAACCUUCGGGAGGGCGCUUACCACUUUGUGAUUCAUGACUGGGGUGAAGUCGUAACAAGGUAACCGUAGGGGAACCUGCGGUUGGAUCACCUCCUUACCUUAAAGAAGCGUACUUUGCAGUGCUCACACAGAUUGUCUGAUGAAAA